This 3838-nucleotide long non-coding RNA is filed under the name Populus trichocarpa (black cottonwood). RNAcentral's name for it is "long non-coding RNA (PTRI_LNC001584)". Lineage: Eukaryota; Viridiplantae; Streptophyta; Magnoliopsida; Malpighiales; Salicaceae. The record is from RNAcentral.
GUUUGAGACCUGGUGACCCAAGUGGACUCAUCCUUCGCCAGAGUCAUUUGAACAGUCCUUUUUUUGAAGCAGUUGUGGGGGAGGUGCAAUUGUUUAGGGGUUAGUUUUUAUCUUUUAUUUUAUUUUUAAAAUGGUGUUGGUUUCACUUGUGAAAUUUUUGUUAAAUUAACUCUUUGUUUAGAAAUUGCUUCGUGUGGUUGUUUGAAAUCAUGACAAACAUGUUUUGGCUCUUUUUUUAGUGUUCCAUUUGGUUUUGACUGCAAUUCCUGAUUUUCCUUCUCUAUUUUUUUUUUGUUGUUGAAAUUGCAUUGUUUAUUGGGAGUAAAGAGACUGAGGUGUGAGUUGCUAGGAUUGUUUUUUGGGAUUUUGGAGAGACAAACAAAAAAAGUGAAGAGUGAGAUUUGUUUUCGAGUGCCAAUUUUAUCAAUUUAUAACAAUCAAAAGAUAGGGAUAAUAUAGAUGUAAAAUAAUAUUUUAUUUUAAAAUAUAAUUUAUAUUAUUUUUUUAAAUAAAUGUUUUUGGACAAAGCUAGUAUAUGCUCACAUUAUUUUAUUUUGUAUUAUUAAUUAAUUUUAAUUAAAAAAUAAAAUAAUAUAAUAUAAUUUAAAUUCAUAACCGUUUAAUCAAUAAUGAAAUUAUAUUAAAAACUAUUUCAUCAAAAAAAAUUAAAUUAUUAAAUUAAAUUAUGAGAAAAAUUAUAAUAUAUAAUUUAUAUUAUUUUUUAAUUUCAAUAUUUUAUCGUCAUUAAUGAGCUAUCCAUGUAUCCAUGUCGUGAGGUGGUCAUUGGAUCCCCUAUCCAUGAAUAGAACUGCAAGGUUGUCAAAAAUAUAUUUUUGACACGGCACAAAAAAUACAAAAUAAACUCGGAUCGUAAAAAUAGAUCGUAAAAUCAUAAGGAAUUUUUUUUUUCAUAUAGAGUUCAAACACCUUAAAAUGCACAGUUCAAAUAAAAAUUCAUGCAUAGUUCAAAUACCUUAAAAUACAUGGUUCAAAUAUAAAUUCAUAUAUAAUUUAAGUAAUUUUUCAUUAACUAAUAAUUAACAAAUUUAAAACAAACAAUCUGCUGAUAUGGAAGCAAUUCAAGAACCAACUCAAAUCAAUCAUGUAAUCAAUCCAAACAUUUGAGUUAUUGAAGUGUCGCACGUCCCCCGCGCGGCGUUUCUGCGAUUUUUCUUUAUGUUUCCUUGAUUGGUUCUUUGAGAGUCGCCACCUAGUAUUUCAUUGAGGGUUACUAGGAAACUCGGAUUUACUGGUCGUUGUCAGAGAUUUGAGGGUAAGGGACUGGUUGUGGCUAAGGAAGGUAUUAGCACCCCUAGCACACCCUACCUAAGGUAAGCUGUUUUGCAGUUUGAUGUGAUUUGAAAAUUUGAAAUAUUAAUCAAAUUCUAAGGUUUUAAUAAAUCAGUUAUUAAAUCCCAGAAUAUAUGUAGAAACAUGUUCAAACACCUUAAAAUGCACAGUUCAAAUAAAAAUUCAUGCAUAGUUCAAAUACCUUAAAAUACAUGGUUCAAAUAUAAAUUCAUAUAUAAUUUAAAUAAUUUUUCAUUAACUAAUAAUUAACAAAUUUAAAACAAUCUGCUGGUAUGAAAGCAAUUCAAGAACCAACUCAAAUCAAUCAUGUAAUCAAUCCAAACAUUUGAGUUAUUGAAGUGUCGCACGUCCCCCGCGCGGCGUUUCGGCGAUUUUUCGUUAUGUUUCCUUGAUUGGUUCUUUGGGAGUCGCCACCUAAUAUUUCAUUAAGGGUUACUAGGAAACCCGGAUUUACUGGUCGUUGUCAGAGAUUUGAGGGUAAGAGACUGGUUUUGGCUAAGGAAGGUAUUAGCACCCCUAACACACCCUACCUAAAGUAAGCUGUUUUGCAGUUUGAUGUGAUUUGACAUAUUAAUCAAAUUCUAAGGUUUUAAUAAAUCAGUUAAAUCCCAGAAUAUAUGUAGAAACAUGUUCUUACAUUUUCAUGGAAAAUAUAACAUGAUUUUAUUUAUCCUUGAGAUAUUUAACCAUAUUCAAAUUAAACAAUUAAUUCUUUUUAUCUUUUUUAUUUUUAUAAUUCAAUAACAUAAAUAAAAAUACAAACACACACACAUAUCCUUUUUUAUUAUGAUUUUUCUCAUACACUAUCUUUUUACAUGUAAAAAGAAAUAUCAAAAAUUCAAAUUACCCAAACACCUUAACAGUUCCCAAAAUUACAUAACACAUUCCACAUAAAAAAUAAUAAUUACAUAAUAGCCCCUGAAAAUCCAGGAAACUGCUGGGAAGGCUUCUGGACCAACAAAAACACUGGCGGCGCGUCUCCUCCACGCGCUGCCGCGAGGAAUAAACUGGAAACGGUGGGAUCUGGCUCAUCCUCUUCUCCCCUUCCUUUCCUCGUCGGCGGUGACCUGCAAGAACAACCAAAACGCAACAAAGCAGUCGAUUUUAGUUCUCUCUUCUCUUUCUCAGAUCUGGUUCAUUCGGUUUUUUGGAUCUGCUUCACUGCAGAUCGGUCUCCUUCGGUCAUCUUCUUCUUCUCCUCUGUUCCAUGUGCUGCACGGCAAGGAGGAACAGACGAGGGAGUGGUGUCGCUGCUGGAGGCGGUGAGCUGGGUCUGCUGGCCUGUGGGUUGCUGCUGUUUGCGAUUCUGCUGGCGUUUGGCGAGCUGGCCGCUGGUUCAGAAAGAAAGAGCUGAGGGCCGGUUCCCUGUGUCAGUGGGCGGCGGUGUUGUCUUGGCCGCGAGGGAGAGUGAAGGCCAGUGGAGGGGCACGGCUGGCUGGCUUUGGGUCACAAAGCAGGGGCCAGCGGGAUUUUUGGAGGAGCAGGGUCUUGGCUGGCGGCUGUGUUGAUGACCAGGAGAUGGACCCUGUGGCUGAGGCUCUUCGUUUUUUUUCUUUCCAAAAGAGAGGAGGGGGCUGCGGCUACAGUGUUGGAAAAAUAGGGAGAAGAUAGGGCCGGCCGCUUUGUUUUUAAGAUGUGGCCAGGGGAGAUGGUUUUCUUUUUUUCAAGGGAGGGGGCGGUCGGCCUCAACAAGGGAAAGAGGGGAGACCAAAUGGCCAAAGGGAGAAGUGGCAGCUGAGGGGGGAUCUGGUUUUUUGUUUCAAAGGGAGAGGGGCCGCCGACCUCUGGUUCGCUUCCCCGAGAGAGGAAGGGUGGCCAGCUGCCCUCUCUUUGUGUGGGGUUCUCUCCGGUUUGCUUUCCCAAAGCCAAAGGAGUGGGGGGCUGUGUGUUGGUUUCAGAGGGUGGCGGCUGCUAUGGUUUUUUUGUAGGUUUAGGUUUUUUCCUUUCUUUCCCUCAGUUUUUCUCCGCCCCUCAUGCCUGUAAAAUUUUUCUCCCCCCCUGCUAUUUCACUGUAGCAUAGUAUUUAUAGGAAAAGUUUUGCUAGGUUUUCAAAUUAGUCCCUCAACUUUUUCCUUUUCUUUUCUUUUCCUCUUUUUUUUUUUUUAUAAAUUUUGAUUUUUCUUAUUUUUUUGUAUUUUUGAAAGCGAGCAAUAUCAACAUCAACUCAACAAGGAAAAUCAGUGAUCAUAAAAUUUACGCGUUAAAAGUUGAACGCGUUCCAAAUACCUUUGAAAAUUUUGAUAUUAGAUAAAUAACUAUGUUAGUUUACAUAGAGAUCAGUCAUUGUUUUAUGAGCAGACAAACUAACCAUACACCCAAUCCAUUCUUCUCAUGAUACAAACCCUAUAUAUAUAUAUAUAUAUAUAGACAGACAGAUAUAUAUAUAUAUACCCAUAAAAAAGAAGCAGUUAAGAAGCGAAGAAAGUAUAUAAAACAAGGGCAUAAUUCAUGGUCGAGAGAGUUGGGUCUUUGUUUCCUUACUUUUGGUUUUGGAAAUUCAGCUUUUGCUUCUGGUGGGAAUUGCAAU